Molecule: ribosomal RNA, 865 nt
Filed under: uncultured Campylobacterota bacterium
Lineage: Bacteria; Pseudomonadati; Campylobacterota
Description: bacterial SSU rRNA
Rfam family: Bacterial small subunit ribosomal RNA
Source: RNAcentral
GCUGGCGGCGUGCUUAACACAUGCAAGUCGAACGGUAACAGAUACUUCGGUAUGCUGACGAGUGGCGCACGGGUGAGUAAUAUAUAGAUAAUGUGCCCCUUAGUCUGGGAUAGCCAUUGGAAACGAUGAUUAAUACUAGAUAUUCCUUCUAAACAUAAGUUUAGUUGGGAAAGUUUUUUCGCUAAGGGAUCUGUCUAUAUCCUAUCAGUUAGUUGGUGAGGUAAUGGCUCACCAAGACUAUGACGGGUAGCGGGUUUGAGAGGAUGAUCCGCCACACUGGUACUGAGACACGGACCAGACUCCUACGGGAGGCAGCAGUGAGGAAUAUUGCACAAUGGGGGAAACCCUGAUGCAGCAACGCCGCGUGGAGGAUGACGCAUUUCGGUGUGUAAACUCCUUUUAUGAGUCAAGAAAAUGACGGUAGCUCAUGAAUAAGCACCGGCUAACUCCGUGCCAGCAGCCGCGGUAAUACGGAGGGUGCAAGCGUUACUCGGAAUCACUGGGCGUAAAGGACGCGUAGGCGGGAUAUUAAGUCUGAUGUGAAAUCCUAUGGCUCAACCAUAGAACUGCAUUGGAAACUAGUAACCUAGAGUAUGGGAGGGGGAGAUGGAAUUAGUGGUGUAGGGGUAAAAUCCGUAGAUAUCACUAGGAAUACCGAAAGCGAAGGCGAUCUCCUGGAACAUAACUGACGCUGAGGCGUGAAGGCGUGGGGAGCAAACGGGAUUAGAUACCCGGUAGUCCACGCCCUAAACGAUGUUCACUAGUCGUCGGAAAGCUUGUCUUUUCGGUGAUGCACUUAACAGAUUAAGUGAACCGCCUGGGGAGUACGGUCGCAAGAUUAAAACUCAAAGGAAUAGACGGGGAC